AUUGAACGCUGGCGGCAUGCUUUACACAUGCAAGUCGAACGGUAACAGGUUAAGCUGACGAGUGGCGAACGGGUGAGUAAUGCAUCGGAACGUGCCCGGUCGUGGGGGAUAACGCAGCGAAAGCUGCGCUAAUACCGCAUACGAUCUGAGGAUGAAAGCGGGGGACCGUAAGGCCUCGCGCGAUCGGAGCGGCCGAUGUCAGAUUAGGUAGUUGGUGGGGUAAAGGCUCACCAAGCCAACGAUCUGUAGCUGGUCUGAGAGGACGACCAGCCACACUGGGACUGAGACACGGCCCAGACUCCUACGGGAGGCAGCAGUGGGGAAUUUUGGACAAUGGGCGAAAGCCUGAUUCAGCAAUGCUGCGUGCAGGAAGAAGGCCUUCGGGUUGUAAACUGCUUUUGUACGGAGCGAAAAGGUCUCCUCUAAUACAGGGGGCUCAUGACGGUACCGUAAGAAUAAGCACCGGCUAACUACGUGCCAGCAGCCGCAGUAA
RNAcentral lists this ribosomal RNA (493 nucleotides) under uncultured bacterium. RNAcentral describes it as "partial 16S ribosomal RNA". It matches the Rfam family "Bacterial small subunit ribosomal RNA", at positions 30 to 523 of the family's 1533-position model. The record is from RNAcentral.